RNAcentral lists this ribosomal RNA (521 nucleotides) under uncultured bacterium. RNAcentral's name for it is "bacterial SSU rRNA". It matches the Rfam family "Bacterial small subunit ribosomal RNA", at positions 8 to 524 of the family's 1533-position model. The record is from RNAcentral.
AGAGUUUGAUCAUGGCUCAGAUUGAACGCUGGCGGAAUGCUUUACACAUGCAAGUCGAACGGCAGCACGGACUUCGGUCUGGUGGCGAGUGGCGAACGGGUGAGUAAUACAUCGGAACGUGCCCAGUCGUGGGGGAUAACGUAGCGAAAGUUACGCUAAUACCGCAUACGAUCUACGGAUGAAAGCGGGGGACCGUAAGGCCUCGCGCGAUUGGAGCGGCCGAUGUUAGAUUAGGUAGUUGGUGGGGUAAAGGCUCACCAAGCCGACGAUCUAUAGCUGGUCUGAGAGGAUGAUCAGCCACACUGGGACUGAGACACGGCCCAGACUCCUACGGGAGGCAGCAGUGGGGAAUUUUGGACAAUGGGCGCAAGCCUGAUCCAGCCAUUCCGCGUGCAGGACGAAGGCCUUCGGGUUGUAAACUGCUUUUGUACAGAACGAAAAGCCUUGGGUUAAUACCCUGGGGUCAUGACGGUACUGUAAGAAUAAGCACCGGCUAACUACGUGCCAGCAGCCGCGGUAAU